GAUGAACGCUGGCGGCGUGCCUAAUACAUGCAAGUCGAGCGAACAGACGAGGAGCUUGCUCCUCUGACGUUAGCGGCGGACGGGUGAGUAACACGUGGAUAACCUACCUAUAAGACUGGGAUAACUUCGGGAAACCGGAGCUAAUACCGGAUAAUAUAUUGAACCGCAUGGUUCAAUAGUGAAAGACGGUUUUGCUGUCACUUAUAGAUGGAUCCGCGCCGCAUUAGCUAGUUGGUAAGGUAACGGCUUACCAAGGCAACGAUGCGUAGCCGACCUGAGAGGGUGAUCGGCCACACUGGAGCUGAGACGCGGUCCAGACUCCUACGGGAGGCAGCAGUAGGGAAUCUUCCGCAAUAGGCGAGAGCAUGACGAAGCGACGCCGCGUGAGUGAUAAAGGUCUUCGGAUCGUAAAACUCUGUUAUUAGGGAAGAACAAAUGUGUAAGUAACUAUGCACGUCUUGACGGUACCUAGUCAGAAAGCCACGGCUAACUACGUG
Molecule: ribosomal RNA, 497 nt
Filed under: uncultured bacterium
Lineage: Bacteria
Description: partial 16S ribosomal RNA
Rfam family: Bacterial small subunit ribosomal RNA
Source: RNAcentral